This 1909-nucleotide long non-coding RNA is filed under the name Homo sapiens (human). Its description in RNAcentral is "non-protein coding lnc-WDR73-7:8". The record is from RNAcentral. Lineage: Eukaryota; Metazoa; Chordata; Mammalia; Primates; Hominidae.
CUGAAGUUGGGAGCUGGGGCCAGGGCCCUGGGCCCAGCAUUGCCAGCCUUGGCUCAGAUGGGCGUCUUUGUCUUCUUGACCCCCGGGAUCUCUGCCAUCCUGUGAGCUCAGUCCAGUGCCCAGUAUCCGUACCUAGCCCUGACCCAGAGCUGCUGCGAGUGACUUGGGCCCCAGGCCUGAAGAAUUGCUUGGCCAUCUCAGGUACUGCCGAGCAGGAUUUCGUCUUGUUAUCUGAUCUCUUUCUUCCAGGAGACUGUUGGGUGCUCAGGAAGGAGCCUCCAGCACCAUGAUAAACCUGGCUCCAGGAGUUAAAGUUGCUCACAGAGAAAUUCGAACUCUCCAGGUUCUUCAGUGGCAGGCCUUUUCCUACCCUGGCUACUAAACUUCCACACAUUGGCAGCAGGCCUUUCCUAGCCUAGCAGGAAUUCAGGUCUCAGGUUGGUGGAGGGGCCUGCAGACAGUAAGACACUGGGACAGACAUCGGGCUGGGUCAGAAAGAAAAGGGGACAGUGGCUAACACGGUGAAACCCCGUCCCUACUAAAAAUACAAAAAAUUAGCCAGGCAUGGUGGCAGGCGCCUGUAGUCCGGCUUAUAGGGCACUUUAGAUGGAAACAAAUGACUGGAUCUUUAACUCCUACCUUUCUCUCCUCUCUUCCUGUAAUGUUGUUACUGAAGGCAGGAAGGGAGACUCCUUGGCUAAAGAGCAGAGCAAGAGCCUCAAAGUGGUCUUUGUGAGCCACCCUGGACUACUGGUUCAGUAGAGGGUUGAGUCAAGCAAUAUUUGAGGACGGGAUAUAAACAGUAUUUCUUAAAGUUGUCACCAAUUUUUCCCCCGAUGAGGCCAUUCCAGACCCAAAUUAGUCAUAACAGAGCCAGGACAAUAAUCACAUCUCCUGAUUCUGAGCCUGAAUGCUUCCCACAGGACUGCGUCGCUCCCACUGCUCUGAGGUCCAUUGUGGGGGAGAGUUGCCACUGGGAUUCCACCUCAAGGCCUGGGGACCAAGCCUCCAGGAUUCCUCUUGAGACUCCUCCACUAUUUCAUUACCAUCCCGCCACAUCUUCUAGUGCUAUGCCCUGGUUCCCUUUGGAAUCCUCUCAAUCCCAAAGAAGGCCUCCUACCACCUCUAAGGCAUCAAAGGUGUUAGAAAGUGCCCCAAGACUCAACAGGGCAUCCAUCUCAUCAUAGAAGACACUGGUGCCUGGUGUGUAGGUGCUCCUGGCUUUGCAGUAGUCGGUCAGGAGGUUUUUGAACCGAUAGCAACAUUGCUCCAGGGUCCACAGGAAGCCAUGUUCUCAAGCCAUAAUCCGGAGGUGCGGAGUUUUUCGUGGAUCCAGGCCUCUGAGAAUUCCCAGAAAAAUCUUGGUUUCUUUGUAUCCCCAGUGCACUCCUGCCACCUUCUCAUCCUCCAGGGCCUGCCACUCCAGCUCGCUCCAGGUCUUGGCUUUUCUCCAGAUUAGCACCUGGCCAGACUUGACUCUCACCCCAGCCACUGAGCAGUCUUUCACACUCUCUUUUUCUCCAGAAUUUGAAGAUCUAGAUGCUGUGGGUUUUCAUCCUACUCCACGUGGGAGUUCACUUUGGGCCUAUGGAUUGGAAAAUCCAGCGUGACCUCAUUUUCAGAAUUCUGCUGAGUUAUUUCUAGGUGGUUCUUCAGUCCAGGUUCUGGAUCCCUCCAUGCCUCCUGGGAGCUGCUCACUAUCUCCUGGCCACCCCUGCUCUUCUCUGCAGGAAUUCCCAGAGCCACAUCAGGCAGGGCUUGGCAUCCCGUUCUUUAACGUAAUGUAAUACAUUUCACACGUCUUCCGUCUCCAUUUGGAUUAUCAACAUGACGUACAUAACCCGUUCCAUUGACCGGAUAACAAGCAGCCAUGGCUUUUGUCCGGCCCGGGGACGCGCGAGGCGGGGAC